This 243-nucleotide ribosomal RNA is filed under the name uncultured bacterium. RNAcentral describes it as "partial 16S ribosomal RNA". It matches the Rfam family "Bacterial small subunit ribosomal RNA", at positions 1261 to 1500 of the family's 1533-position model. The record is from RNAcentral.
CGUUAAGCAAAUACACAAAAAACCCAAGUCCCAGUUCGGAUUGCAGUCUGCAACUCGACUGCAUGAAGCUGGAAUCGCUAGUAAUCGCGGAUCAGCAUGCCGCGGUGAAUACGUUCCCGGGCCUUGUACACACCGCCCGUCACACCAUGAGAGUCGGGAACACCCGAAGCCCGUAGCCUAACAGCAAUGAGGGCGCGGUCGAAGGUGGGUUCGAUAAUUGGGGUGAAGUCGUAACAAGGUACC